Molecule: long non-coding RNA, 2643 nt
Organism: Myodes glareolus (Bank vole)
Lineage: Eukaryota; Metazoa; Chordata; Mammalia; Rodentia; Cricetidae
Source: RefSeq, a predicted model, not a curated record
GGCCACGGCAGGAUUCAGACAGCCUGAGAGGCGGGGGAUCGGCGGAUCGGGGACUCCACUCGGAGGAGCACACUUCAAAGGGAUCAGGGCCCUGAACCCAGCCGGACAAAACAGGGCAGCAUUUCUCUAGAAUCGACCUGGAGGGCGCAUUGGAAGGUUGAUGCAGCUGUUAUCCAGAAGGGCCAAGCUACAUCUGGAGCGGGACAACUUGGAAGCAUCACCCACACCCACACGGCACUGGUUUUAUCGGUAGAGGAGACACAAAGAUGAGCGGGUCAAGAAAUCUUAUGCCAACGUCCCAGAAGGCCACUGGGGCCAGGCCUGGCAAUGUGUGGCAGGAUCAGAUUCCCUGCAAUGGGGCCCCAAGGAUCCAUUCACUUCAUGAUGCUAAGAUACCAAGACCAUAGGGCAUCCACCUAAGAAAGUACAGCACAGAAGAAGCCAGACCAAAGAGAGAUAAAGGGGCCAGGGCUGGCCACAGUCCUUGGAGCACAGGAGGCUCCAUCCCAAUCCGCAGAUGUCCAAUGCAGAACCAUAAGCUUUGGUGCUCGCCAGUCUCGCUUUGACUCUAUCCUUCACUGCUAUACUCCUUUGUAUGUGGAAGUAUGUAACAUGUUUAUUGAUGUUGUACAAGCUCACAGGUAAUAGAUUCCCAUCUCAGAAACCACUCUGUGCUUACCCUUUGGAAUAGCGAUGAAACUGUUGCGGAUGGCGGGGACUUUGACGUUGAACGGAAUGCAUGUUGAAUUGUGAGCUGGCCCUGAGUCUACGGGAAAGGGGGGUGGAAAGUUAUGACUCAAAGGGGAUACUCAAAGUUUGGGUAUCAAGUUGACAACGACUAGAUGUGUAGCGGUUAAUAUUGUCCAUUUGAAAUGAUGCCGAAUUGCCUCUCUCUGGCCCUACCUGUGAGCGCGUUCGUAGACCGAGUUUAUUGAGGCAGGAAGAACCACCCUCAAGGUGGGUGGCACCAUUCAUGGGUCGGAGUCCCAGAUUGAAGAAAAUGAAUCUGAGCUGAGCCCUCUCUGGGCGUCCUGACUAUGGGUGCAAUGAGACCACUUGUCUUAAGCUUUGGUCCUUCAUGACUUCCACACUCCGGUGGACUGUACCCCCAAACUACGAGACAACCCCCGCUUCUUUGGCCCGCUUCUGCAGUAUUUACUACAGCAAUGGGGAAAAGCUAAGGCAGGGAAUCUGACUGUGGCGAGCCUUGCCCCUUCGCCAAGGCCCCUCUCUGUCUUCUCCACAGAUGCUUUAUACCACACAAUAUCUUUCGCUUCUGUCAGGCAGUCAUAAUUUGUAACGGAGCAGUUUUACCUCCCAGACGACUACAAAUAAGAUCAGGUGGCUAAAUGAAAUAACUACACUGUUUCUGCUUUGUUUUAUUGGUUUAUUGAUCUGCAGUGUCCUUUGCUGGGCUCCUGCUCUCAGCGAUCAUUUUUCUCCGAUGAUUUUUUAUUUCGGUCAUGCUGGUUUGUUAAGGAGGGUUUCUUUAAACGUAGCAAACUCUCCCCCCCCCCUUCAUCUCUCCCAGCUUCCUUGGGUGUGUGGGUAGGUGUCGCAAGACAAUCGAAAUUUAAUUGCCUGGCAUUCCGCCUUAGGGAUAGAAAAGCAGACAAUGCAUCGCUGAAGGAAUCCGGGAAAACUGGGGAAGAGCAAAGGCACUGUUCACCUGGGUGGGGGGGUGUCACAACUAGACCGGGAACUCUGUUAAUUUAGUUAACAAUAAUUGAGCCUCAUAUAAAAACAUCACGGGUGACAAUACAGGUGACAAUACUACCAUUCCACAAAGCCACAGGUAAUCCAUUGAUUUUACAGAUGAGGCCUUGACGACAAGCCACAGCCAACUAAAGCCUGAGCCACAACUAACCCUUUCUCCAGACACUUACCCCAGGACUCCUGCAUCCAUCCGUCGUUCUAAAGCCCGACAAUGGGAACCUAACAGAGAAUGAGUUAAAUUCCGCUCAGUUCUAUGAUACUUUCAGGUUUCUAGGGGUGUCUGGAAGAAAUUUACAUUUUCCAAAAGCUUUUAGACAGUUUCCGAAGCUCUUGUACCCUCCCAAUUGCUCUAAAAACAAGCAAACAAAACCUGCAAGCCUUUAACAGGAAAAGGUAUUUGAACCGCUGCCCUGCUUUUGACAUCUGUGAUACCUCUGACUUCCCUCUCCUUUUCUUAUUACUUUAAAUGUUAGCGUCGUAGCUACAAAGUGAAGUCUGUUGCUAAAUGUAUUAGCUAUUUGUUUCUGUUGCUGCGGCAAAUACCUGAGGCAAGCACCUUAGGGAAGGAGGUAGCUCCAUUCCAAGCUAAGUUAUUGUGUAACAAAGGAAAACCUGGGAGCGGGAAGAACCUUCUUCUUAGCCUUGUUAACCACAGGAUGUCUAGACCGUGACACGAAGGUCAGCAUCCUCAGCUUGAGUCUUGACAGCAAUCUUAAUGCGAAAGCUGAUCUCGGAGCCACCUGGCUCAUCUCCCCAAAUUGCUCUCCCUUACACUUAUUAUGUAAUUGUUAUCCUAAAAUAUUAACCAGACUCUCAUUUUGCUUAUGUCAUCUUGUUUAACCUCUGUUUGUUUGUUAAAGAAAAACAAACAAACAACCGUGAUAAUACCUCACAAAGCAGAAAAUCCUGUUAUAUAUAUAUAUAAAA